Long non-coding RNA from Gasterosteus aculeatus aculeatus (three-spined stickleback), 515 nucleotides. The record is from Ensembl. Lineage: Eukaryota; Metazoa; Chordata; Actinopteri; Perciformes; Gasterosteidae.
AGACGCUGAGGCGGCCGGUGCCCCGGUUCCCCUCCCGACGCCUGCAGAGCUCCGAGCGGACGCAGCACGAAGCGAAGUUACGGCAGCAGAGCGACAUGAACGGGCUGAUAGAACCACGACUACCGGCUCCACUACUCUGUUUCUGCGGGUGGUGGUUGCAUCUGAUGGAGGUCACGUCUGAUGAUGGUUGUCCCUGCACUGGUCCUGCCUUACCCCUGGCUUAAUAAUCCACAAUAUUAGAAUCAUUUAUGUUGUAGGAAUCGGAUGUACUGUACAUCUUUUAAGUUGUUCACACCUUCUUCCCUACUGUUUUCCCCUCAGGUUUCUCCAGGUUGAAGGUUUUUUACAUUUUGGGGUUUAGGGGACAGGGUGUUGCAUGUUUACAGAUUGCAAAGCUGAACAAAAUAAAAUGAUUUGAAUUGAAUAAACACGUUGACCAGAGGAAUCUGCUUUGUGCACUCUGACUCCCUUUACACAAAGAAUCCUCAAGUGAGGAUGAGGGAGAUGCAGCUGAU